CGACUUCCCUUACGAUCUCCGAAGUUAAGCAAGGUCGAGCCUGGUCAGUACAUAGAUGAGUGACCGCUUACGAAUACGAGGUGUUGUAA
This is a non-coding RNA of Acanthosepion pharaonis, 89 nucleotides long. The record is from the annotation of a GenBank genome assembly. NCBI's taxonomy places the organism in Eukaryota, Metazoa, Mollusca, Cephalopoda, Sepiida, Sepiidae.